UACGAAGGGUGCAAACGUUGCUCGGAAUCAUUGGGCGUAAAGCGCACGUAGGCGGCCUUGUAAGUCGGAUGUGAAAUCCCACGGCUCAACCGUGGAAGUGCAUCCGAAACUGCGAGGCUCGAGUAUGGAAGAGGGUCGCAGAAUUCCCGGUGUAGAGGUGAAAUUCGUAGAUAUCGGGAGGAAUACCAGUGGCGAAGGCGGCGACCUGGGCCAAUACUGACGCUGAGGUGCGAAAGCGUGGGGAGCAAACAGG
RNAcentral lists this ribosomal RNA (253 nucleotides) under uncultured bacterium. RNAcentral describes it as "partial 16S ribosomal RNA". It matches the Rfam family "Bacterial small subunit ribosomal RNA", at positions 524 to 776 of the family's 1533-position model. The record is from RNAcentral.